UCUGGCGCAACUAAUGAGACGUCUUCAGUCAGGAAUAAAUGAAGGAAUAGGUCAACAGCAUUUAGAUUUAGAUUAUGUCCAUUAUGUUAUGAAUCAGGAGGUUUUCAUUCUCACAUCUGCAUCAACUGUGCUUCCUAUACCCAUGGAUGCUGUGAAGCAUCUUUAAAGCCGUCAAGAAACAAUCAGUGUUGCUGUUUCUCAAGAGGGACCCUGAGCUGUAAUGACAAACGUUAGCAGUAGAAGAGGACAACCUAAACUACAAGUCUCUGAGGACCUGCUAACUCAUCUUAGUGAUAAGUUUCUACCGGUGUCAUGUGCUGCUCAUCUCCUGAGGGUCAGUGCAUCUUCCAUCUUUCGACGCAUGAGAGAACUUGGGUUGUCAACAAGAUCUUCCUGCAGCACCUUGUCUGACAGAACUGGACAGUGAUGUGUUGUCAGUAAAAGACAGAUGACCCAAUGCAGGAUCCAGAAUGGUGAAAGGUUGCUUUCAAGCAGAAGGACACAGAGUUGAAUGGGAAUGUACUAAGGAAUCAAUGCACAGAGUUGAGGCUGCUGGAGCUUUGGGGAGAUUGAUGCAUCUUGGUUGCAUCAUCAGAAGGACAUACUGUGUACAACACCCUCUGUCUUUAGUACAUGUGGACACAACCAUAGGCUAAUAAGCAGUGGUGGAAGCAGAGGAUGUUCUUGAGUGGGGUUUCGAAUCAUAUAAUGUGAUAAGAUGUCAGACAGCUUACCCACUGUUGACUCUCAAAGUAGAGGCAAACUAAAUACUUCAAACACGUCAGAAGAUCCACCGUAUAGUUACAGUGAAGUCAGGACAAAGAAACCCCCUCCACUGUUAGAAAAGAGGAGGACGGCACAGUAUUU
Long non-coding RNA from Girardinichthys multiradiatus, 867 nucleotides. RefSeq lists it as uncharacterized. The transcript is spliced from 3 exons. The record is from RefSeq and is a predicted model, not a curated record. Lineage: Eukaryota; Metazoa; Chordata; Actinopteri; Cyprinodontiformes; Goodeidae.